UUACAGCCCUGAAGACUGAAGUCCUCUGAUUAUCCAUAGCAAAGAUACAGCAUAAGCAGCAUCAGUGCAAGUUUACCCACACCAUUAUACUUACGUGCCUUAAUUGAGAGGAACCACUUUUAGAAAUGUAGUUUGUUGUCCAUAAAGAAAGCUGCUAAAGGGAGAAAGAGGCUCCAAAGCCUGAGCAAAGGUUUAA
RNAcentral lists this small RNA (196 nucleotides) under Chelonoidis abingdonii (Abingdon island giant tortoise). RNAcentral's name for it is "TUC338 (ENSCABG00000015227.1)". Lineage: Eukaryota; Metazoa; Chordata; Testudines; Testudinidae. The record is from RNAcentral.